Molecule: long non-coding RNA, 240 nt
Filed under: Oryza brachyantha (malo sina)
Lineage: Eukaryota; Viridiplantae; Streptophyta; Magnoliopsida; Poales; Poaceae
Description: long non-coding RNA (OBRA_LNC003131)
Source: RNAcentral
AGAAGAGCCAUCCACAAAUCACAAACUACUCUAUAUGCAUGGCUUGGCCUACCCGGGCUUCCAUAGCUGCCAAUAGCACCCUCUGCUGGGGCCAGUUCCGUCUACCACCAACGCCCUGUACCAAGAUCAUCUCGGUGUACAAGCAAUGGCUUUGCAAAGAGGUUUAGUGUAGCGGCCAAUAGGAGCUCGGAAAGUUCAUAUGAUACCUUGUCAAAUUUUCCCAACACCGCUCAAUCCAUU